Molecule: ribosomal RNA, 445 nt
Filed under: uncultured Bacteroidota bacterium
Lineage: Bacteria; Pseudomonadati; Bacteroidota
Description: bacterial SSU rRNA
Rfam family: Bacterial small subunit ribosomal RNA
Source: RNAcentral
GUGAGGAAUAUUGGUCAAUGGGCGCAAGCCUGAACCAGCCAUCCCGCGUGAAGGAAGAAUGCGCUAUGCGUUGUAAACUUCUUUUCCAGGGGAAUAAAAUUUCGUACGAGUACGGGACUGAAGGUACCUUGGGAAUAAGCAUCGGCUAACUCCGUGCCAGCAGCCGCGGUAAUACGGAGGAUGCGAGCGUUAUCCGGAUUUAUUGGGUUUAAAGGGUGCGUAGGCGGAAAAAUAAGUCAGUGGUGAAAACCUUCAGCUUAACUGGAGACUUGCCAUUGAUACUGUUAUUCUUGAGUAUAGUUAAGGUAGGCGGAAUGUGUAAUGUAGCGGUGAAAUGCUUAGAUAUUACACAGAACACCAAUUGCGAAGGCAGCUUACUGAGCUAUAACUGACGCUGAUGCACGAAAGCGUGGGGAGCGAACAGGAUUAGAAACCCCGGUAGUCC